Molecule: long non-coding RNA, 1029 nt
Filed under: Felis catus (domestic cat)
Lineage: Eukaryota; Metazoa; Chordata; Mammalia; Carnivora; Felidae
Description: lncRNA (ENSFCAG00000047096.1)
Source: RNAcentral
AUGAGAUCAUGCUCGGAAAAACUCCGUCAGCCGGCCAAGGCUCGUACAGAGCGCUGUUGUUUGGCGGAGUGCUGGCGCAAGGGUGGGAGCCCGGGGGCCCUGGCCCCGCGACUCGACCGGGCCGCCCUCCUCCCGCCUCCCUGCGCCCCUGCAGGCCCGCAGCUGCAGCGGCAGGAGAGGAGGGCACAGCUGGUUCACCUCCGUCCCCUCCAGCCCCAGCCCCGCCAAGACGGAAAUAACCGCCCGCUCCAGACCCGGCCCGACCGGUUCUCGGCUCUGGGGGAGAGGUGGCCAGGCGGGUGGGGCCGAGGCGGGGCCGGGUCCGCGGGUGGGAGACACCUCCCCCCCGCCUUGGGCUCGCCGCGCUUGCUGGGGCCACGUGGCUGCCGCCUGCGGUCCCUUCGCGCGUCUUGUCCCGCGUGCCCCCCGGGCCUGAGCCGGGGCCCCGGGACCCCGGCUCCCCGCUGCCCCUUACCUCGUGGCCCUCGCGGAGUGGGGCAGGCGCGCUCUCGGGCUCCGACUGGGACGCCCCUCUCCUCGGUUCGGAGCCCGCCUCUGCCUCCGAGUCCCAAGUCCGCUCCUUCUUCCUUUUUCCUCCGGGCGGAUCACACCUGGCAAAGUGUCAUGCGGGACCUGGAGGGGGGGUCCAGGACCCAGGCGUCCUCCUCAGGACCCCUCCUCUCUCAGGUUCCAGGGGUCCUGCCUCCUACCUCUCUUACUCCUCAGACCCAGGAGUCCCAGGUCCCCCCCCCCCCCCCCCCCCCGGACCCUGGGGUCCAGGCCGCCGACCCUCCCUGCCUCAGACCCAAGGAGUCCGGGCCCUCACCCCUGGCAGGCCCUGGCCUCGGGUCCCUUCUUACCUGCACCGGGGACCGAAGUGUCAGCCCCUCUCGGGGGGCCAUGGUAGGAGCCCAAACGGGCCGCGAAGUCACUGCCCAGUCCAGCCCAGUCCCUCUGGGGCAGAGAGGGUUAAGGCCCAGGCCCCUCCCCGCCUUCCUUAUCCCCCAAAAGUUUGCCUCUAGGAUUUAA